UAUGUAUUAAACGGAUUAGCGCCAAAAAAAAUCGUACAAAUAUGAAAUAACUUUCAUUAUAUGCUAUCUUACGUACUCUCUUCAGAACCGCCUGCGGAGAUAAAAAAUUCCAAUUACUUUAGGAGAUAUCGAAUUUUUUAAUCUUCAUUUUUUGGCGAUUUUUUUUUAAAAAAAAUUUAAAAAUCCGAAAAUACCUUUAUUCUGUGCUCUUAAACUUCCUCUUUUCAUUAAACCCGGCUGAGAUAAGAAAUUCCAAAUACUUUUGGAGAUAUCGAAUUUUUUAAUUUUCAUCCUGUGCACUCGUGCGGCGAUAAUGGUUGCUUGUUGACAAGUAUCAUUUUUUUUUUUGCGAUGUUCCCGAACGGAGAAACCUAAGAUGCACAUAGAGUUCUGCCAUUCCCGAUUACACCCGAACAAUUCACCUUCGGCCAACCUCGGGUUUAUUUAUUAAUAUUUCUCUGUUUAUUUUAAUGUAGCUAUACUAACCUAACUAACCAUCCAAAUGGUUUUAAAGUGUUUUAAUGUAGCUAACCUAUCCGACCACUUUUAAUAUUUCAAUUCAUUUUUCCUGCGCAAAAAUAAAUAAAUCCCGAGGUUGGCCGAAGGUGAAUAUUCGGGUGUAAUCGGGAAUGGCAGAACUUUAUGUGGAUCUUACGGACUCUCGCGUAAACGAAUACAUCAUGUAAAAAGAAACUUACGACCACCAGCUCGCGGGUCACCCCGGCGCAGAGCAGACGGCGGAGGCGCUGUGCACCACAUUUCACUGGCCGGGGGUGACCCGGGACGUCCGGGAAUACGUGAGGAAUUGUCUCCACUGUCAACACUGCAAAGCGAGGAGGGCGGAUGGCGAGGAGCAGCAGCGACCCAGGCGGCCCCAGCACCCCUUCCACACCAUCGCACUGGACAUCAUGGGCCCUUAUCCCCGUAGCAGCAAGGGGAAAAAGGUUUUGAAUAACCAGUGCCCAACCUAACCUUAUAUUAGAUAUUUAUCAUUUUUUUUAAUAUUAUUGGACAAGGUUCUUUUAAUAUUUUAGUACACGCAAGGAAAGUUUUGUAUCUAUUGUGUUAUGUGUAAGUAAACGUCCAAUGAUGUUUUUGGUCCCAUUAUUAGAUGCCGAGCGCUUUGUAUAGGUGUCUUUUCUGUAUAAAAAAAAUGUAUUUUAGAGAAGAAAUCUAAUAUUUAUUCCAAAAUCACCACUUACUUAUUUAAUUAACGGAAAAACAAAGUUGUCUGACGAGUAAAUUUCUUUUAAAGAUGUUUUUCAACGUUAUCUUUAUCUGAUUGUCUGCGUCGCCACGGUGUACUAGUGUAGAUAUUUUUUUCGUAUUAAACAAUGUAUUUUAAAGUAGAAAUCUAAUAAUUAUUUGGACAUUAUAACUUACUUAUUUAAUUAACGGAAAUACGAAGAGGUCUGACAUGUAAAUUUUCUUUUAAAAUAGUUUUUAAACAAUAUUUCCUUUAUCUGAUCUUCUGCGUCGUCGCGUUGUACCACUUAUGAACAUGUAGCCAGCGCUAGUUGGCAUCAUUCGUGUUUGGUUUAACGUCGUCCGGGCCUGCGGCCCCUUUGAGCCCGAUAUGCCACCGCCCAAACACCACCAUCUCUGUUCAAACCUCCCGCUUGUGUGUGCGUGUGUGUGUUGGUAGCCCGGCAAGAGGGCACUUAGCUGCAGUGCGCCACACCCCUAUAUGUAUUAAUAAUUAUUGUAACCCUUUUCUUUUCGCCACAAAAUAGUGUCACGAUGGCUAUGUAUGUGAGUGCCUUUUGUUUAAUUAAUUUAUGAUGUUUUUGUAAUAAAAUAUGUGCAAGCACGGACACAGAUGCUCCCUAGCGGGUGACAGAGGAACUAGCAUACAACUUGAUUUAAACUAUUUUCUACCACGUAAGGGUCAUUAUCAAAAAAACGUACAAAACACUGUCCACACAUUAUUAUGAACAUAAUUCUACAUAUAAAACUUAGUUUAUGGUAUUAAACUAAUAUUAUAACUUAUAGAACAUAAUGUAAGAUUAUCAUAAUGUGUAAAAAAAAGUAAUGAAUAUUUUUAAAAAUUCUACAUAGUAGUAAAUGUCACGUCCGUGGCAUGUCACAACCUGCAGUUUUACCAUUUUGUCUUUAUGUAAUGUCAUGUUUCAGCAUUUAAUGGCAAUUGAUACCAAUAGUGUAGAAAUAUAAAAAAUACUUAGAAUACACUGACGUCAGCCGGGGCUUCGCCCCACGAGCCUGAUCAUCCUCCGUUCCCUUUCCCAACACCUUCCCUACCCGGCAUUUGUGUCGUAACGUACGUAGCCGUGUGCGAUUCAAACUGCGCGCCACGAACUACAACAAGAGGGCGCUUAGACGCAGUGCGCCGCACCCCUAAGUAUGCUAAUUAAUAUUGUAACCCUUUUUCUUUUAUUCUUUUGCCCCAGUGUCUUGUUGCAGUGUAAUCAUGUGUUUCUCCAGUUUAAAUAUUACAAUUAAUUAUAAAACUAUAGACGUUGCCCGGGCGGACCCGAAUAGGCACGGACUUGGACGAGGGUAGAAAUGUUUUAUAAUAAUUCUCAAUAAUUACGUAAACAUUAAUGUAUUUUAAAUUGCCAGUAAUUUUUAUAUAUUUAUUAAUGUAAUCUAUUAUUUACUUAACUUUCGCCGGGGCACGGAAUCGCAGAGUGUUGUAACGGUAAUUGUGUUCGGCGCGAAGGGCGCCAUGUUGCCACCUGCAAACCAUGAUCUCAUCCCAGUCUCCUUCUACAGCCGGCCGAGAGCGGACGACACCCCGAGGACAUCACCGUUGAGUCACUGAGUAUUAAUUCCAUAGUUUAAUUUAUUCGAAUCUCUUUCUUUCAUCCUCGCGGCCUCUCUCGGUCGGAGAGACUGUAUACAUAUUUAAUAUUCACUCCUCGGAGUUUUUAGUAUCAUCAUUGUAAUACGUAACGACUUAGAGCGGCCACGUGCGUGGUUCGCCUCUUCAACUAAGCCGAUUCGUGCCUCGGGCGUUUUCACAGUUGUACCAGUGAAGGAACGUGUACGGAAAUAAAUCGUGAGUAAAAUAAACCGAUUAACUGUGUUACGUGUCUCUGUGUUCGGGGGGACCACGUGGGACCCCAACCUGGUCGGCGGCGUGUGGGACGCCCUGAGAGCCCACUGCGUGGUAGAAGCGUGCCCGACGCUGAGAGCGGGCUUAGUUAGGGUCGAGAGCGGCGCAUUUAAUAUCUAGAGGGCCAAAUAUCUCGCCGCACACGGGCCACGUAACGCCCUGGGUUAGAGUCUCCAGCCGGGUCCACGUGCCCACUCACGUGGUGGCGUCCAUAACACCGUACGCCCUCAACACAUACAGGAUUACAUUUGUCUUUAUCAAAUUAUUAUUUAUUGUAUGACUUAUUUAAUAUGCGUCACAAGGUUCAGAGUCCUGUCCGUGGACAUGAAUGAAACUUUUUAAAAAAGCCACUAGAAUACGCCAUUGUUCAAUGGUAAUUGAAUGUAGUACAAAAGAGCAGCCAUCUUGUGCACAGGAACAAAUGUAUGUUAUGUCUUGUUGUUACAAUAUGGUAUAUUCUACAUUUGUUCACAAAUUUUGAGCAGUGUUUAGAUCAACUUGUCACGUCUGUGGCAUUAAACAAACUAAUAGAAAAAGGUAUUUAGGCAAUGUUAUCCUAAAUAUGAUUGCUGUUACUCAUGAAAAGGUUUCUAUUGUCCUCAUUGUAUUCUUAACCUCAAAUAUCUUCUCUGUACUGCAAAAUAUUGACAAAUUCAUCCUGUCCGUGGACAUCACAUCCGUGGACAUUGCAUGUCCACAGACAUGACCAUUUGUCCACAGACAUGAUUAUAUUAUUAUUUGCUUUGUAGUUUCUAGCAUAGUUAGCUUACAUAACUUAUUUUUCGAUAUCAUAAGCUCAGUGACACACUAAAUAGUCUGGUUAAGUUAUAUUUUCCAACUGACGUAAAGUGUCAUGAAACUGAUUUAUAACAUUGAGCCACUGAUUGAAAGCAUUUUUUCCAUGUUAAGUACAGUAAACUAUCGCAAAUAUCCGAGGGUGUCGUUUAUGACUUUCAGAUUUUUGAAUAUUCUUUAUUAAAAUGUACCAAAAAAUGUAUAGUUCUAAAAAUGAGGUCUGUAAAGUUUGUGAAAAUGUAGAACACCUUAACAUCAUAAUAAACAAGUCACUUGAGAAAUUAACACAUCAAAUGGCAGAUAGGGCUGCUGCACAAUAAGAGCUAGAAUUUUUGUUUUUCUUUAAAUUACAAAACAUUCCACUGUUUCUAAACCACAAAUCAUGCUAAGUGUGACAAUACAACUUGCAGCACAUCAAGACAAUAACAAUCAAGCAACUUCGGAAAUGCCCUGAUUUUUGAGUAUUUCAGAUUCUCGAACCACAGACUGGCGGGAGUUUACUGUAUUUUACUAAAAAAAACAAUAGAAGCCUAAGUCACUCAGUGCAUUAUUUCCCCCUUGUUUGAUAAGGCAUUAUUCAUUAUUGCUGCAACUUUAAAAACACUGUUUUAUUUUCAGUGAAUUGUGAAAACGGGAAAAAUUGUAAAAAAGAAACUAUCAAACAAGCAACUAGAUAAGCGAAGAGAGACAAAGAAACUAAGCAUGCGACGUGCUAGAGAAAAGUUAAAGAAUGACCCAGAAAAGCAUUGCGAGUUAAAGAAAAAACUAAAAGAUGCUGAAAGGAAAAGAGCUACAAGAAAAAAAUUACAGACAUGAAUGAUAGGGAGAAAAGAAAGAUGCGGAAGGAAUGGCGUGAAAGGGCCAAAAAAUGUAGAGAGAGAAAAAUAAUGGAACCAGAGUUGAUUACAGUACGUAUACCUCACAUCCCACAAAAACCACAUACAACAGAGCUUGUACCUUUCUCUUCAAGGGUACAAGCUGGCAAAAUAAGGAUGAGAAACAAUAUGAAAAUACUUAAAGAACAAAUGACAAAACUUAAAAAAGAAAAUGAAGCAUUGAAGAAAAAACAAGUCAGUAUAGAAAAAAGUAUUACAGACUUGCAGACACUAGAAAGGAAGAUACAAUCUUGUUGCUCAAGGAAAAGAUAUUCCGAACAUUGAUAUUCUUAUGUCUGAAAUUAAAAACAGCAACAGCAACAUUGUUAUUCAUAAGAUUGACACCAACGACAUUGAACAAAUAGAAAAGUAUCUUCCAAACAAUGUACCUUCUUUCAAAGGUGUACUCAAAGUACAUGAGAUAAACUGGUGUAGAUACAAUGGAACAGUAGUACAAGCAAGAAGAUCGAGUUGCAGAAUGUGCAAAGCUGGAGCUUCUUGCACACACUAUGGAAUUGUACAAAUCACUGUGGAUUAUCCUUCAUGUAUCCUUUUGUGACAUACACAUUUUGUUGGGUGUUAUAUUUUACUCUAACUGCUUUUACAACUAAGUUAUUUUAACAUUAGAUUAGAUAUGAGUCUCUUUGUGGUGUACAGUUUGACUGAGUACAGCAGCUCAAUAUUGCUUUACAACUGUUUACCAAUGAUUAACUAGGGAUUUAUUGUAUACUUAUAUUAUGUGUUUUACUUAACAACACUCAGAUACUUCCUCUUCAAAGACCCUGAGGUACAAUGAAGUAUACACAGAUGAUUCUGAUGAGGCUGAAAACAAGCAGCCCGUUGUAUCUUAUGUCGAGCGAAACAAUUACAUUGUUGUCAAGUAUACCUCACAAAGAAACUUUCAAACACACUACGUUGGAAUAGUAGAAAAAGUUACUGGUCAAGAGCUGCAAGUGAAAUUCAUGCGAAAAUCCACUGGAUUUGCUUUUGUGUUCCCAUAUGAAGAAAACAUAGAAUUGAUAGACUUGGUUGCUGUGAAAGAAGUGCUAAGUCAACCCACUAUGAACAAGAGAAACCAGUUCUUUUUUUCAGAAAACUUGGGCAAAUACAUAAACUUUUGUUAAAAACUACGAAUUGCCUGUGUUUUUUGAAUAGCUUAGUGUUUGUUUCAAAGUAAUUGUUAAUUUUUGUCUUCUAGAUGGUUGCCUAACAUUGAUAGUCAAAUUUUUAAAUUCCUUUGAAUAGGCAUUUAAUUCAAUCAUAUCCUUUUGUCAUGUCUGUAUCAUGUUGUCAUGACUGUGUGUCAUGUUGUCAUGCCCAUGUACAGUGUUGUAAUGUCCGUGUACCAUGUUGUCAUGUCCGUGUACCAUAUUGUCACAUCCGUGGACAAGGAAUUUUUUCAAAUAUUAAAAAAAAAAUGGAUACAGAACUAUAUGAUCUUGACCAAUAUUAUAAAUCAAUUACUAAAUGUAAUAUCUCUUCUACAACUAUUUAUGAAAAGGUUUAAAAUAAAUUUUUCAGAAAUAUUUUUAUGCUAUGAAAUUGUACGUUUUUUUGAUAAUGACCCAUAAGUAAUAAUUACAGACGGUCUGGUCAUGGAUGUGAUGUGCUAAUUUUUAUAAAGAGUUUUUGUUAUUUUCCAUUAUAACCCGGGGCACGCAAUAGCUAAGAUGUUAACGGUAAUUGUGUUCGGCGCAAAGGGCGCCAUGUUGCCUGCCGCAAGCCCUUGUCUCAGCCCAGUCUCCUUCUUCAGCCGGCCGAGAGUGGACGUCUCUGCUUUGAGGCGACCACGUGCAUGGUUCGCCUCCUCACCUAAAUCGAUUAGUGCCUCGGGCGUUUUAUAACAGUAUCAAGGAAGGAUUGUGUAAGGGCGUGUAACGUGAGUAAAUAAAAACCAACUUAAAUUGAGUCACGUGUCUUUGUGUUCGGGGGGGCCACGUGGGUCCUUAACCAGUCAGCGGCGUGUGGGACGCCCUAAGAGCCCACUGCGGUUAAUUAGAAGCAUGCCCGACGCUGAGAGCAGGCUUAGUUAGGAACAGGUGUUGCAUUAAAAAUCAGGAGGGCUAAUAUCUCACCGCACACGGGCCACGUAACACCCUGAGUUAGAGUUUCCAGCCGGGUCCACGUGCCCACUCAUGUGGUGGCGGCCAUUAUUUCCAGCAGUAAUUUUAACCAUAACACCGGUACGCCCUCAAAUGGCACCCAAGAGCGUGUGGCGAGAUAUUGCACGUGUCGUGAAUACCAGGCCCACAUGAGUUAGCGCGUGUUAGGCGGUUGUACACCGGAGCGCGGUAGCCAGCGGAGCCGAGAGAUAACUGGACUGGCCGGCCACGUGACCAGCCGAGCGCGCGCGCUUCCGAGAAUUCGCAGUGAGCAGCCAGGUGAUUGCAUUCCUCGCGAAAACAACACACUCCGAGCGCAGUAUGUUGUCGCAGUUCGUGAGGACUUUUCGUGUAAAGAGUACCACGUGUGUAAAUAUGUAUGCAGACGAGUGCAUCGGGUGUUACUUCCCCUGCCCGAGUUGGGACUUGUAUGGCAGGACCGCCACUGGGUAUGAGUGUGGCUAUUGCACCGAGUACCGCUCACAAGGGGUGACGAAGUGUGGAGCGAGUUCGUGUCCUGCAGGAAUUAGCGAGGGAUACCGCUGCCAGGAAUGUGCCGGCCUGUGACAUUGUGACUGUAUCGGCGAACGUGAAUGGACUAUACUGCGCAAGUUUUUUACCUUUACGUGCGCACAAUGUACCGCCUACCUAUCCACCCAGGUGCAGUAUCGAGCAGAGACGCCGAACAUUUAUUCUCCACGACACGCCUUGACGCUUCCCGAUCCGCCGACGCCGCUCACACUGACACCAACCACGCCGAAAACGACCCUGCUCGACUCGCCAACGCACCAAGUGUCAAGGAUGCCGUUCGUUGCCGGUACGGCAUCCCCGAAGCACCAAGCCGACUCCUCACGCAUGACAUCGUCACCAGCACCACGAAGGUAGGUCCUGACGUCACCCGCACCGUCACGUGUCACGUUACCGAUGCCUACCACCCUGACGAAAACGCCCGUCGUCCUGAUGCCGACGCCCGUCAUCCUGACGCCAACGCCCAUCGUGCCGACGCCGAAGCUCAUCGACGUGACGCCUCCCGCCACAAGUCCGAUGACGCAAUCACCUGCAAGACCCCGUUUCGUUGACCCCAAGCCAUUUAUCCCGACACCGACGAUUCCGCUCCCGCCGCCUCCUGUCCUGGAACCGCCAGCCUCGGCACCUCUAGUUGACCUGACGUCUCCUGACGCAAGCCCGAUCACAUCAUCACCCGCAAAAUCUCGUUUCGCCAACCUGACGCCACUCAUCCGACUGUGACGACGCUUGACUCGCCGAAGCCAACUGAGCGACCUACGGCGACGACUGUCCCGCCGCAGUCUGCGACGCCGUCCAGCACCCGCCUCGUGUUGGGGACUACUCCCCAAGCCAGAAUGACCUCGCCACCGUCCAGACAUCAUCAGGGUCCAUUCCGGCGCAGCCCGCAUCGUCUCCACCACACGACUCGCCACGGACGCCACCAGACUCGACGCCGACGCUUCGCGCCACUUUGUCGCCACCACCUGGCUUCGACAUCAUCCUGCAUUCGUCACCGCCACCCGAGUGUGCAGUCGCAAACGGGACGCUUUGCGACACAAUGUCCAGGGCCCUGACGCCGAGACGCCUGAGCGCUGCCGCGCCACCUGGAUAGGCUCUUCUGUGCCCGCCUGGCUUCGAGGGACAGUCGGAUGAACCUGCCCGAAUGGAACGGACGCGCGCGAUGCCGACGCCACCCUCGAGCCCACCUGACGCAACGUCAGAAAUGUCGGAGACGCCACGACGCCCGAUUCCGACGCCGCAGUACCGGAACAUCGGUCAAGUGCCCUGCCGCCCGAGACGCCACGCACAUGUCGCAAGUUGGCAACAUUGGGACGCCGCACCGUGAAGAGUCGCCUGAGCUCCCUGCAUCCGCCUGUCGCAAUGCAGGUCGACGCCACGACACCUGGACGGCCGACCGUCCCACCACCCGGACUUCGACACCUGUCACCCGUCUGUCAAAACGGGCCGCGAAGCGCCCACAUGUCGGCAUAGCUGAGCCGGGCCAUGCCGAGCGCCGCCCGUGCUUGCUGCCCGCCUGCCACAAGCUGCCUGACCUUGGACGCCGCCACUCCUGUUGGCCGGCGCCCUGGCCACUGCCGCACUGCCGCGCGCUGCGAGACGCAACAGCCGCAGAUUUGGAGCUCGGAGCAACUGGUGGGUCUCCACCCACAAGGUUAGUCAGCCAGCGCCCAUUCUACCCGUGUGUAUUGUUCGUCCGUCAUCAUGUAAACAUUGCUCUCCUUCCAUCAUGUAAAUAUUGCUCUACUGCCAUCAUGUAAACAUUGCUCGCACGUCUUCAUGUAAACAUUGUCCGCCCGUCAUGUCAACAUUGCCACCUGUCCGCACGGACGUAAACAACAUUGCCACGUGGGAGUGCGCGACGUAAACGUUACAGGCAACGCCCCCCAACCAUCUGUCGCACAGCGCUGUCAUAUCGGCCUACUUUCAGAGGGGGCAAUUGACGUCGUCCGGGCCUGCGACCCCUUUGAGCCCGAUAUGCCACUGCCCAAACACCAUCUCUGUUCAAACCUCCCGCUUGUGCGUGCGUGUGUGCAUGUGUUGGUAGCCUGGCAAGAUGGCACUUAGCUGCAGUGCGCCGCACCCCUAUAUGUAUUAAUAAUUAUUGUAACCCCUUUAUGUGAGUGCCUUUUGUUUACUUAAUUUAUGAUGUUUUUGUAAUAAAAUAUGUGCAAGCACGGACACGGACGCUCCCUAGCGGGCGACGGAGGAACUAGCAUACAACUUGAUUUAAACUAUUUUCUACCACAUAAGUAAUAAUUACAGACGGUCUGGUCAUUGAUGUGAUGUGCUAAUUUUUAUAAAGAGUUUUUGUUAUUUUCCAUUAUAACCCGGGGCACGCAAUAGCUAAGAUGUUAACGGUAAUUGUGUUCGGCGCAAAGGGCGCCAUGUUGCCUGCCGCAAGCCCUUGUCUCAGCCCAGUCUCCUUCUUCAGCCGGCCGAGAGUGGAUGUCUCUGCUUUGAGGCGACCACGUGCAUGGUUUGCCUCCUCACCUAAAUCGAUUCGUGCCUCGGGCGUUUUAUAACAGUAUCAAGGAAGGAUUGUGUAAGGGCGUGUAACGUGAGUAAAUAAAAAACAACUUAAAUUGA
Long non-coding RNA from Bacillus rossius redtenbacheri, 9962 nucleotides. RefSeq lists it as uncharacterized. Lineage: Eukaryota; Metazoa; Arthropoda; Insecta; Phasmatodea; Bacillidae. The transcript is spliced from 2 exons. The record is from RefSeq and is a predicted model, not a curated record.